Molecule: ribosomal RNA, 1385 nt
Filed under: uncultured bacterium
Lineage: Bacteria
Description: bacterial SSU rRNA
Rfam family: Bacterial small subunit ribosomal RNA
Source: RNAcentral
GACGAACGCUGGCGGCGUGCCUAAUACAUGCAAGUCGAGCGAGCGGAACUAACAGAUUUACUUCGGUAAUGACGUUAGGAAAGCGAGCGGCGGAUGGGUGAGUAACACGUGGGGAACCUGCCCCAUAGUCUGGGAUACCACUUGGAAACAGGUGCUAAUACCGGAUAAGAAAGCAGAUCGCAUGAUCAGCUUUUAAAAGGCGGCGUAAGCUGUCGCUAUGGGAUGGCCCCGCGGUGCAUUAGCUAGUUGGUAAGGUAAAGGCUUACCAAGGCGAUGAUGCAUAGCCGAGUUGAGAGACUGAUCGGCCACAUUGGGACUGAGACACGGCCCAAACUCCUACGGGAGGCAGCAGUAGGGAAUCUUCCACAAUGGACGCAAGUCUGAUGGAGCAACGCCGCGUGAGUGAAGAAGGUUUUCGGAUCGUAAAGCUCUGUUGUUGGUGAAGAAGGAUAGAGGUAGUAACUGGCCUUUAUUUGACGGUAAUCAACCAGAAAGUCACGGCUAACUACGUGCCAGCAGCCGCGGUAAUACGUAGGUGGCAAGCGUUGUCCGGAUUUAUUGGGCGUAAAGCGAGCGCAGGCGGAAGAAUAAGUCUGAUGUGAAAGCCCUCGGCUUAACCGAGGAACUGCAUCGGAAACUGUUUUUCUUGAGUGCAGAAGAGGAGAGUGGAACUCCAUGUGUAGCGGUGGAAUGCGUAGAUAUAUGGAAGAACACCAGUGGCGAAGGCGGCUCUCUGGUCUGCAACUGACGCUGAGGCUCGAAAGCAUGGGUAGCGAACAGGAUUAGAUACCCUGGUAGUCCAUGCCGUAAACGAUGAGUGCUAAGUGUUGGGAGGUUUCCGCCUCUCAGUGCUGCAGCUAACGCAUUAAGCACUCCGCCUGGGGAGUACGACCGCAAGGUUGAAACUCAAAGGAAUUGACGGGGGCCCGCACAAGCGGUGGAGCAUGUGGUUUAAUUCGAAGCAACGCGAAGAACCUUACCAGGCCUUGACAUCUAGUGCCAUUUGUAGAGAUACAAAGUUCCCUUCGGGGACGCUAAGACAGGUGGUGCAUGGCUGUCGUCAGCUCGUGUCGUGAGAUGUUGGGUUAAGUCCCGCAACGAGCGCAACCCUUGUUAUUAGUUGCCAGCAUUAAGUUGGGCACUCUAAUGAGACUGCCGGUGACAAACCGGAGGAAGGUGGGGAUGACGUCAAGUCAUCAUGCCCCUUAUGACCUGGGCUACAUACGUGCUACAAUGGGCAGUACAACGAGAAGCGAGCCUGCGAAGGCAAGCGAAUCUCUGAAAGCUGUUCUCAGUUCGGACUGCAGUCUGCAACUCGACUGCACAAAGCUGGAAUCGCUAGUAAUCGCGGAUCAGCACGCCGCGGUGAAUACGUUCCCGGGCCU